This 747-nucleotide ribosomal RNA is filed under the name uncultured bacterium. Its description in RNAcentral is "bacterial SSU rRNA". It matches the Rfam family "Bacterial small subunit ribosomal RNA", at positions 130 to 878 of the family's 1533-position model. The record is from RNAcentral.
CCACCACUUGGGGAUAACCUUGCGAAAGUAAGACUAAUACCCAAUGAUAUCUCUAGAAGACAUCUGAAAGAGAUUAAAGAUUUAUCGGUGAUGGAUGGGGAUGCGUCUGAUUAGCUUGUUGGCGGGGUAACGGCCCACCAAGGCGACGAUCAGUAGGGGUUCUGAGAGGAAGGUCCCCCACAUUGGAACUGAGACACGGUCCAAACUCCUACGGGAGGCAGCAGUGAGGAAUAUUGGUCAAUGGACGAGAGUCUGAACCAGCCAAGUAGCGUGCAGGAUGACGGCCCUAUGGGUUGUAAACUGCUUUUAUAAGGGAAUAAAGUGAGUCUCGUGAGACUUUUUGCAUGUACCUUAUGAAUAAGGACCGGCUAAUUCCGUGCCAGCAGCCGCGGUAAUACGGAAGGUCCGGGCGUUAUCCGGAUUUAUUGGGUUUAAAGGGAGCGUAGGCCGGAGAUUAAGCGUGUUGUGAAAUGUAGAUGCUCAACAUCUGCACUGCAGCGCGAACUGGUUUCCUUGAGUACGCACAAAGUGGGCGGAAUUCGUGGUGUAGCGGUGAAAUGCUUAGAUAUCACGAAGAACUCCGAUUGCGAAGGCAGCUCACUGGAGCGCAACUGACGCUGAAGCUCGAAAGUGCGGGUAUCGAACAGGAUUAGAUACCCUGGUAGUCCGCACGGUAAACGAUGGAUGCCCGCUGUUGGUCUGAAUAGGUCAGCGGCCAAGCGAAAGCAUUAAGCAUCCCACCUGGGG